UUUAUUUAGCCACAGAACUUCUAAUUUCAGAAACUGAGACAUGAAAUUUUACACUUGUAGUAGCUGCCUACAGAAUUCUGAUUUUGUUUGGGGCAACAAUGAACGCACAACCAAAGGGAUAAAUCAUAAUUGAUCUAUGCUAGUCAUGGAUUUCCUGCUCUCCUUGGUCAGGUAACUUCCUUGCCAAGCUUCUCUGUAACUAGAGCUAAAGCUAUAUACAUGACCCACCCACG
This 233-nucleotide long non-coding RNA is filed under the name Bos taurus (domestic cattle). RNAcentral describes it as "long non-coding RNA NONBTAT013918". The record is from RNAcentral. Lineage: Eukaryota; Metazoa; Chordata; Mammalia; Artiodactyla; Bovidae.